GGCCGUAGUCUAGCUUGGUCCAGGAUGCCAGCCUGAGGCGCUGGUGACCCGGGUUCAAAUCCCGGCGGCC
The sequence is a transfer RNA, 70 nucleotides long. It matches the Rfam family "tRNA". From Rfam's summary of the family: Transfer RNA (tRNA) molecules are approximately 80 nucleotides in length.